Limulus polyphemus (Atlantic horseshoe crab) is the source of this 171-nucleotide long non-coding RNA. RefSeq lists it as uncharacterized. The transcript is spliced from 3 exons. Lineage: Eukaryota; Metazoa; Arthropoda; Merostomata; Xiphosura; Limulidae. The record is from RefSeq and is a predicted model, not a curated record.
CACGGCAAGAAAGGAAAGUAGAUGGUGGUAAGAUGCUGUACCUAAGGACAAUGGAUAUGGAGACCUUAACUGGUCCUCAAGCAGUCCAGAAAGCUGUUUCAGAGCUGUUAUUAGAAAACGAUUCAAUAGCCUCAACUGCUGUUCAUUUCAGAGCCACUGAUAAAGGAAUUA